AACUAACAAGGAUUCCCCUAGUAACGGCGAGUGAACCGGGAAGAGCUCAAAUUUGAAAUCUGGCGUCCUCAGGGCGUCCGAGUUGUAAUCUAUAGAGGCGUUUUCCGUGCCGGACCGUGUCCAAGUUCCUUGGAACAGGAUAUCAAAGAGGGUGACAAUCCCGUACUUGACACGACGACCGGUGCUCUGUGAUACGUCUUCUACGAGUCGAGUUGUUUGGGAAUGCAGCUCAAAAUGGGUGGUGAGUUCCAUCUAAAGCUAAAUAUUGGCGAGAGACCGAUAGCGAACAAGUACCGUGAGGGAAAGAUGAAAAGCACUUUGGAAAGAGAGUUAAACAGUACGUGAAAUUGUUGAAAGGGAAACGAUUGAAGUCAGUCGUGACCGAGAGGCUCAGCCGGUUCUGCCGGUGUAUUCCCCUCGGUCGGGUCAACAUCAGUUUUGUCCGGUGGAUAAGGGCGGUAGGAAGGUGGCACCCUCGGGUGUGUUAUAGCCUGCCGUCGCAUACAUCGGGUGA
Molecule: ribosomal RNA, 514 nt
Filed under: Papiliotrema laurentii
Lineage: Eukaryota; Fungi; Basidiomycota; Tremellomycetes; Tremellales; Rhynchogastremaceae
Description: LSU rRNA
Rfam family: Eukaryotic large subunit ribosomal RNA
Source: RNAcentral